RNAcentral lists this ribosomal RNA (418 nucleotides) under uncultured bacterium. RNAcentral describes it as "bacterial SSU rRNA". It matches the Rfam family "Bacterial small subunit ribosomal RNA", at positions 357 to 772 of the family's 1533-position model. The record is from RNAcentral.
AGGAAUAUUGGUCAAUGGGCGCGAGCCUGAACCAGCCAAGUCGCGUGAGGGAUGACGGCCCUACGGGUUGUAAACCUCUUUUGUCGGGGAGCAAAUUCCGCCACGUGUGGCGGAGUCGAGAGUACCCGAAGAAAAAGCAUCGGCUAACUCCGUGCCAGCAGCCGCGGUAAUACGGAGGAUGCGAGCGUUAUCCGGAUUUAUUGGGUUUAAAGGGUGCGUAGGCGGACUGCCAAGUCAGCGGUAAAAUUGCGGGGCUCAACCCCGUACAGCCGUUGAAACUGCCGGGCUCGAGUGGGCGAGAAGUAUGCGGAAUGCGUGGUGUAGCGGUGAAAUGCAUAGAUAUCACGCAGAACCCCGAUUGCGAAGGCAGCAUACCGGCGCCCUACUGACGCUGAGGCACGAAAGUGCGGGGAUCAAA